GGGCCCGCACAAGCGGUGGAGCAUGUGGUUUAAUUCGAUGCAACGCGAAGAACCUUACCAGGGCUUGACAUACUGCGAACCUCCUUGAAAGAGGAGGGUGCCUUCGGGAAUGCAGAUACAGGUGGUGCAUGGCUGUCGUCAGCUCGUGUCGUGAGAUGUUGGGUUAAGUCCCGCAACGAGCGCAACCCUUAUUUUAGUUGCCAAUUCGUUGGGUUUUCUAGAAAGACUGCCGGUGACAAACCGGAGGAAGGUGAGGAUGACGUCAAGUCAGCAUGCCCCUUAUGUCCUGGGCUACACACGUGCUACAAUGACUAGGACAAAGAGUUGCUAGUUUGCGAAAACAAGCUAAUCUCAUAAACCUAGCCUAAGUUCAGAUUGUAGGCUGCAACUCGCCUACAUG
This 400-nucleotide ribosomal RNA is filed under the name uncultured bacterium. RNAcentral's name for it is "bacterial SSU rRNA". It matches the Rfam family "Bacterial small subunit ribosomal RNA", at positions 917 to 1322 of the family's 1533-position model. The record is from RNAcentral.